RNAcentral lists this ribosomal RNA (449 nucleotides) under uncultured bacterium. RNAcentral describes it as "bacterial SSU rRNA". It matches the Rfam family "Bacterial small subunit ribosomal RNA", at positions 8 to 454 of the family's 1533-position model. The record is from RNAcentral.
AGUGUUUGAUCCUGGCUCAGAUUGAACGCUGGCGGCAGGCCUAACAACAUGCAAGUCGAGCGGUAACACAGGGAGCUUGCUUCCGGGUGACGAGCGGCGGACGGGUGAGUAAUGUCUGGGAAACUGCCUGAUGGAGGGGGAUAACUACUGGAAACGGUAGCUAAUACCGCAUAACGUCGCAAGACCAAAGAGGGGGACCUUCGGGCCUCUUGCCAUCAGAUGUGCCCAGAUGGGAUUACCUAGUAGGUGGGGUAACGGCUCACCUAGGCGACGAUCCCUAGCUGGUCUGAGAGGAUGACCAGCCACACUGGAACUGAGACACGGUCCAGACUCCUACGGGAGGCAGCAGUGGGGAAUAUUGCACAGUGGGCGCAAGCCUGAUGCAGCCAUGCCGCGUGUAUGAAGAAGGCCUUCGGGUUGUAAAGUACUUUCAGCGGGGAGGAAGGCGA